UACGAAGGGGGCUAGCGUUGCUCGGAAUUAUUGGGCGUAAAGGGCGCGUAGGCGGCUAGUUUAGUCAGAGGUGAAAGCCCAGGGCUCAACCUUGGAAUUGCCUUUGAUACUGGCUAUCUUGAGUACGGAAGAGGUAUGUGGAACUCCGAGUGUAGAGGUGAAAUUCGUAGAUAUUCGGAAGAACACCAGUGGCGAAGGCGACAUACUGGUCCGUUACUGACGCUGAGGCGCGAAAGCGUGGGGAGCAAACAGG
RNAcentral lists this ribosomal RNA (253 nucleotides) under uncultured bacterium. Its description in RNAcentral is "partial 16S ribosomal RNA". It matches the Rfam family "Bacterial small subunit ribosomal RNA", at positions 524 to 776 of the family's 1533-position model. The record is from RNAcentral.